ACGCUCGACACCUACGGGAGGCAGCAGUGGGGAAUAUUGCACAAUGGGGGAAACCCUGAUGCAGCGACGCCGCGUGAGUGAAGAAGUAUUUCGGUAUGUAAAGCUCUAUCAGCAGGGAAGAAGAUGACGGUACCUGAGUAAGAAGCCCCGGNUAACUACGUGCCAACAGCGCGGUAAUCUGAGCGGGCUGGCAAGGC
Molecule: ribosomal RNA, 197 nt
Filed under: uncultured bacterium
Lineage: Bacteria
Description: partial 16S ribosomal RNA
Rfam family: Bacterial small subunit ribosomal RNA
Source: RNAcentral